CGCCGCCUGCAACGGCCGCAGAGGAAAUCUGAAAGUCCAAACACCACCCACCACCCCCCGGCCCCCGCCGGGAGGGGAAACCCAGGGCGAAGGAGGCACGAAAGGGCACCUCGGCGGUGGGGCCUGGCCUUCCAUGCAACGGCCCCGGGAAACGUCAGCCGGGCCGGGCACAGAAAGGGUGGAACCAAAGUAAACUCUUUUUUAAUACUGGGGGGGGGGGCGGAGGGCCGUUCCUGGGCGGAGGAGGGAUUGUUUUGGCUAUUCCAAAUUCCCGUGCAAGCUCCUGCUAUUUAAAUAAACGAGGGGUCUAUCAUCCAGUGCGCUUUUAGAGGCACAAGCGAUUCCUAGCCUGAAGACAUAGACACUUCAGGGAUUGGGAGGUGAUAAAUGGCCGGGAGUCAAGAGUGGUACUAGGGCUAUUGGAAGGGGGUUCCCUAUUUCGGAAGGAUGGCGAAACAAAGGCUUCUGUACUGCUUGGGAUCGAGAUUGCAAUUGUUGCCCUGGCAGGAAGAUUGCAAG
Molecule: ribosomal RNA, 519 nt
Filed under: uncultured eukaryote
Lineage: Eukaryota
Description: partial 18S ribosomal RNA
Source: RNAcentral